Oncorhynchus tshawytscha (Chinook salmon) is the source of this 1827-nucleotide long non-coding RNA. RefSeq lists it as uncharacterized. The transcript is spliced from 2 exons. The record is from RefSeq and is a predicted model, not a curated record. Lineage: Eukaryota; Metazoa; Chordata; Actinopteri; Salmoniformes; Salmonidae.
GAAUGGGGAGUGGGCGGUAUUUUACAUGGGGGUGACGGGAGUAGUGAGGUUUGUCGGGAUUAAGGUUAGUUAAGAGAAUAUAUGUCGUGACCGGCCUCACAUUCCAGUUGGCGGCGGUGAAUGCACCUGUCAAUUGUUUGCGAUUCGCCUUUUUAGUGUUGAUAACGAGACGCUGUUUUUUUGUUCCAGUGCUAGCAACCAGGGUCAGUUCAUAUAUAGCGCAGUGCUGGCAAGCUCGUAAUUCAGACCUCCAGCAGCUCAUUGUCUCUAAGGAAGCGGUUCCCCCUGAGCAGCAACACUGUGAGAAGGAAUGGAGCCCCAAUCUGGGGCAGGAGGUAAAAGAGGAACAGGAAGAACUCCGGACCAGUCAAGUGGAAAAGCAGCUUCAAGGGCUGGAGGAAGAGUUCAUAUUCUCUCCUGCCUUUGUGAAAAGUCACUAUGAUCAGGUUUCAAGUUGGACCUCACAUUUUCCCAGCACCUAAAAUGAACAGAUCAACACAGAAUCUGAUGGAGAGGACUACAGAUUAUUUGAACCAACCAGUGACUCCCAGACCCUCGCUGCAGUUAAUCUAGACUGUUCUGUAGCUAACUCCAUGGGUUCUCUAGUUUGUCAUAUGAAAAUGCAUGCGAAGGACGCAGACGAUAGUGGUGUGUGUGAAAAAAACGUUGAUUCCACAGAGAGUAUGCAAGAUCACCUCCAAACUCAUAUUGACACUAGGUUUUCUUGUGAUGUUUGUAGUAAAUGUUUUACUAUGAGUAGUAAACUGAAAAUGCAUAUGAGGUGCCACAGGCGGAAUCUACUUCCAUGCCCUUUUUGUGGUAAAUAUUCCAACAGUGCAGCUAAUCUGAAAGUACACAUCAGGACACACACAGGUGAGAAACCUUAUCAGUGCCGGGAUUGUGAGAAAUGUUUCAGCUGUAAAUCUAAUCUGAAAAAACACAUCAGAUGUCACACAGGGGAGAAACCGUAUCACUGACCCGACUGUGGCAAAGGAUUUACUCAGAGUGCCCAUAUGGGUAUGCAUAUGAGGAUUCACACAGGGUAGAAACCACAUAGCUGUAGUGUAUGUGGCAGGUCUUUUAGCAAUGGCCCUCAUCUUAAAGUGCACAUGAGGGCCCAUACAGGUGAAAAACCAUAUAAUUGCAGUCUUUGUGAUAAAUGUUUUAGUAGUCAUUCUGGUCUGACAGUUCACACAAGGACUCACACAGGGGAGAAACCGUAUAUGUCCUUUAUGCAAAAAAGGCUUUACAUCAGCAAGUAAUUUAAAGGCCCACAAAAAGCGCCAUACUAAAAGUAAAAACCGUGUAGGUGUUAUGGUUGUGGCAAAUGCUUCACUACAAAGGAGUCCUAAUGAUGGCAUCAGUGGGAAUAAAUGAAAAUGCUUUGUGGGGGAAAACAGCAUCAUUGAGGACUGAGAGAGACAUUGUAGCUACAAUCUGUGAGAGGAGAUAUGCCUCAGUAUACUGCUCUUGGUUGAAUAAGAUGAGACUGAAUUAGUUUUUUAACUAGCGGAAUAUCGUAAGAAGCCCACAUGUCAAACAGAGAUCAGUUAGUGGAUUUCUGAGCAACAGGAGUCACUGCCCAGUACCCAUCAUUCGGCAUAAUCUGAAAGCCCAGAACAAAUCCUGCGUGCAUGGACCCAUCUGAUUCUGGGUGCUGUGUGUUGGUGUUGAAAUCUGCACAUUACUGUUUCAUGUACAGUUCUACGCGUAUUGUUCUUGUGGUCUAACAAUGUACCCACUGUAUGUUAUACAUUUUUGUACUUAGCACCUAGAGGUUGUAAUUGUCCAGAAGGUAUCACAGAAUAAAUGUAUUGUUUACAUUCA